ACGGUCCUAAGGUAGCGAAAUUCCUUGUCGGGUAAGUUCCGACCCGCACGAAAGGCGUAACGAUUUGGGCACUGUCUCAACGAGAGACUCGGUGAAAUCAUAGUACCUGUGAAGAUGCAGGUUACCCGCGACAGGACGGAAAGACCCCGUGGAGCUUUACUGUAGCCUGAUAUUGAAAUUCGGCACAGCUUGUACAGGAUAGGUAGGAGCCUUUGAAACGUGAGCGCUAGCUUACGUGGAGGCGUUGGUGGGAUACUACCCUAGCUGUGUUGGCUUUCUAACCCGCACCACUUAUCGUGGUGGGAGACAGUGUCAGGCGGGCAGUUUGACUGGGGCGGUCGCCUCCUAAAAGGUAACGGAGGCGCUCAAAGGUUCCCUCAGAAUGGUUGGAAAUCAUUCAUAGAGUGUAAAGGCAUAAGGGAGCUUGACUGCGAGACCUACAAGUCGAGCAGGGUCGAAAGACGGACUUAGUGAUCCGGUGGUUCCGCAUGGAAGGGCCAUCGCUCAACGGAUAAAAGCUACCCCGGGGAUAACAGGCUUAUCUCCCCCAAGAGUUCACAUCGACGGGGAGGUUUGGCACCUCGAUGUCGGCUCGUCGCAUCCUGGGGCUGUAGUCGGUCCCAAGGGUUGGGCUGUUCGCCCAUUAAAGCGGUACGCGAGCUGGGUUCAGAACGUCGUGAGACAGUUCGGUCCCUAUCCGUCGUGGGCGUAGGAAAUUUGAGAGGAGCUGUCCUUAGUACGAGAGGACCGGGAUGGACAUACCUCUGGUGUACCAGUUGUCGUGCCAACGGCAUAGCUGGGUAGCUAUGUAUGGACGGGAUAAGUGCUGAAAGCAUCUAAGCAUGAAGCCCCCCUCAAGAUGAGAUUUCCCAACUUCGGUUAUAAGAUCCCUCGAAGAUGACGAGGUUAAUAGGUUCGAGGUGGAAGCGUGGUGACACGUGGAGCUGACGAAUACUAAUCGAUCGAAGACUUAAUCAA
This 978-nucleotide ribosomal RNA is filed under the name human gut metagenome. RNAcentral's name for it is "bacterial LSU rRNA". It matches the Rfam family "Bacterial large subunit ribosomal RNA", at positions 1945 to 2925 of the family's 2925-position model. The record is from RNAcentral.